Molecule: ribosomal RNA, 253 nt
Filed under: uncultured bacterium
Lineage: Bacteria
Description: partial 16S ribosomal RNA
Rfam family: Bacterial small subunit ribosomal RNA
Source: RNAcentral
UACGUAGGGGGCAAGCGUUGUCCGGAAUCAUUGGGCGUAAAGAGCGUGUAGGCGGCUCGGUAAGUCUGCUGUGAAAGUCCAGGGCUCAACCCUGGAAGGCCGGUGGAAACUGUCGGGCUAGAGUCCGGAAGAGGCGAGUGGAAUUCCCGGUGUAGCGGUGGAAUGCGCAGAUAUCAGGAAGAACACCAACGGCGAAGGCAGCUCGCUGGGACGGAACUGACGCUAAGGCGCGAAAGCGUGGGGAGCGAACAGG